This 246-nucleotide small RNA is filed under the name Paenibacillus larvae subsp. larvae. RNAcentral describes it as "BsrG". It matches the Rfam family "BsrG". From Rfam's summary of the family: bsrE, bsrG and bsrH pair through intermolecular interactions with antisense sRNAs. SR4 interaction with the 3'UTR of bsrG RNA promotes bsrG degradation and inhibits its translation. SR5 also overlaps bsrG from nucleotide 163 to 52 (Rfam overlap check). The record is from RNAcentral. Lineage: Bacteria; Bacillati; Bacillota; Bacilli; Caryophanales; Paenibacillaceae.
GCAAUAGUGGCUUAUACGUGGGCGGUCGGCUAAUCCCCUGGAAAGGGGGUGAUGCCAAUGGAAACGUUUCAAGCUCUUCAAUUAAUGUUCCUAUUCGGGAUGUUUAUUCUGGCGCUUCUGACGUUUAUCCAAAAAAAAAUAGAUCGCCCUCAGGUGUAAAGGAUGCGAUCUAUUUGACGUGAUCUUUCUAAGCCGACCGCCAUAUAGCGCGGCUAUUGCGAGACCGUAGGCAUUACAGCGUCUGCG